AGACGGUUAACCCACUGAGCCACCCAGGUGCCCCUAUUAUUGCUUAUUUAUUAACACAACUAUACACAUACCUAGAAAUAGGGAACCUGGACAAAAAGAUCUCUUGAAAGUCCCCACCCUUUUAAAUUUACAUGAGUCACUCCGUGUGCAGGGGUCAGUUUUUCCACAUUUUUGGUGAUUUCCCACAGUCACCAAAAUAGAACUCUGCCUGCAAGUGGGUCCCACACAAAUGUUGAGGGAACACAAACUCAAAGUAACCUCUGUUUACUUUUGAAAACUAGCUCAAUGAAAUAAGAACAUUAGUUUAAUUAUCAUAUAUUAUUAAUGAAUAACACUUUAUUUCUCAACAAGGAAAUAAAUCCAUCAGAGACGGGGCCUAACGUGGAGCAGAUCCAGGGGACUCCUGUCAUUCAUGACCUCUUCUCUGAUUCUCCCUCGUGGAGAGAGCUUGGCCACAGUGACUACAGGCCCAGGAGUUUGGAGCCGGUGAAGCCGGAAUAUCAAUCAUCAGGAUUCCAAUGAAGAAUCCUUGGCUGAAAAAGCCACCAGGCUCCUUUCCAGGGCCGGUGGCAUUGCGUUCUGGGAGACCAAGGCUGAGCAAAGCAAUCGAAUGCUGACCCCAGAAAGCUAAAUCACACCUCGCCUUUCAAGAUACUCUAAAACCAUCAACAAACUUCCAGGGUCAAUUCAAAGCUGCUCUCUCCUCUGUAUGAACAAUGAAGAAUGUGGCUACCUGCCAGCCUGGACGCAUUCAUGACUGAAAGCAUCAUGUGUCUCCUGAGCAUUAGCUAUGCUUUAUUAUUAGCGUUAAGGACAGUAGGAACAUGUGGAAGAUGGAAACAAAAUCCCAACUAUUUUCCCUUUUGAAAUUUCUCUUCUAAUCCUAAUGGUGUACAUGCUCAUUUUUGCUUGGUAACCCACUGUGUGCAAAAGGACACGUCCUGCUUUCUUUUACUGAACGUUAGUUACAUAGCAAGUGUUUUCCUUGCUUUUUGUAGGGUACACUUUGUUUCAAAUGGCUGCAUUGUGCCAUAAUUUAAUUAAUGCCUUAUUUUUUCUUCCUUCCUUUCUUCAUUCCAAUUUCUUAACUUCCUACCCACCUUCUUUCUUUCCUUUCUUAUCAUAAAUCCUAUGGCUUCUUAUUUAUUUUGGCUUUUUUUUUUUGACCAAGUUAUCCGAUGUGGGAUUACCGUCUCAAGGCAAACAAUGCUUUUAUUAUUCUUUAUAUGUGAUGCUAAUUUGUUUUCCAAAAUAGUUGCAGCCAUUCACACUGUCAGCGAGGGUAUAGGAGUACAUCCAAUCCCCUAAACCUUUUCUAACAGUGUGAGGGAUGUCUGAAUUGCCAAAAACAUCCUUGUUGCUAUUUUUAUGUAUAUUUUUAUUUUUAGCAAGGUUGCUAAUUUUAAAUUUUUGUUAACUAUGUUUCCUGUUAUUCAGCUAAUUCAUUUAUCUACUGCAUUUUUUAAUGAAUUCUUUAAAAAAUAAAAAAAUUUGCUAUA
Leopardus geoffroyi (Geoffroy's cat) is the source of this 1499-nucleotide long non-coding RNA. RefSeq lists it as uncharacterized. NCBI's taxonomy places the organism in Eukaryota, Metazoa, Chordata, Mammalia, Carnivora, Felidae. The record is from RefSeq and is a predicted model, not a curated record. The transcript is spliced from 3 exons.